RNAcentral lists this long non-coding RNA (277 nucleotides) under Helianthus annuus (common sunflower). Its description in RNAcentral is "hypothetical non coding rna". The stretch from base 170 to 277 matches the Rfam family "Small nucleolar RNA Z103". Lineage: Eukaryota; Viridiplantae; Streptophyta; Magnoliopsida; Asterales; Asteraceae. The record is from RNAcentral.
GUGGAUGUGAUGAUUAUUUCCCCGAAUGAUCGAAUCUGAAAUAACUAAGCGCUCAAUUCAUGUUUCUCCUUUUGGUGAAAUUCAAGCAAAAAAUCUGAUCCAUCUUCAAAAUUGUGUUUUGUUUAAUUAUAAAUAGUUGAUUUUUAUUAUGUGUUUUGAUAAUUAGAGAGUGGAAAUGAUGAUUAUUUCCCCAGAUUAUAGAAGUUGAUUAUACUGUGCGCAUUUAAUUAUAUUCUCUAUUACGUUAUAGAGAAUCCAAGCCAAAAAUCUGAUCCUA